CAGGAUGAACGCUAGCGACAGGCUUAACACAUGCAAGUCGAGGGGCAGCAUAGAAGUAGCAAUACUUGGUGGCGACCGGCGCACGGGUGAGUAACGCGUAUGCAACCUACCUAUCAGAGGGGAAUAACCCGGCGAAAGUCGGACUAAUACCGCAUAAAACAGGGGCACCGCAUGGUGAUAUUUGUUAAAGAAAUUCGCUGAUAGAUGGGCAUGCGUUCCAUUAGGUAGUUGGUGAGGUAACGGCUCACCAAGCCGACGAUGGAUAGGGGAACUGAGAGGUUGGUCCCCCACACUGGUACUGAGACACGGACCAGACUCCUACGGGAGGCAGCAGUGAGGAAUAUUGGUCAAUGGGCGGGAGCCUGAACCAGCCAAGUCCGCGUGAAGGAAGAAGGAUCUAUGGUUCGUAAACUUCUUUUGCAGGGGAAUAAAGUGCAGGACGUGUCCUGUUUUGUAUGUACCCUGAGAAUAAGGAUCGGCUAACUCCGUGCCAGCCGCCGC
Molecule: ribosomal RNA, 501 nt
Filed under: uncultured bacterium
Lineage: Bacteria
Description: bacterial SSU rRNA
Rfam family: Bacterial small subunit ribosomal RNA
Source: RNAcentral